CAGCAGCCGCGGUAAUACGUAGGGUGCAAGCGUUAAUCGGAAUUACUGGGCGUAAAGCGCACGCAGGCGGUUUGUUAAGUCAGAUGUGAAAUCCCCGAGCUUAACUUGGGAACUGCAUUUGAAACUGGCAAGCUAGGGUCUUGUAGAGGGGGGUAGAAUUCCAGGUGUAGCGGUGAAAUGCGUAGAGAUCUGGAGGAAUACCGGUGGCGAAGGCGGCCCCCUGGACAGAGACUGACGCUCAGGUGCGAAAGCGUGGGGAGCAAACAGGAUUAGAUACCCGCGUAGUCCCUGUCUCUUAUAC
Molecule: ribosomal RNA, 301 nt
Filed under: uncultured bacterium
Lineage: Bacteria
Description: partial 16S ribosomal RNA
Rfam family: Bacterial small subunit ribosomal RNA
Source: RNAcentral